AUUCCCCUAGUAACGGCGAGUGAAGCGGGAAAAGCUCAAAUUUGAAAUCUGGUCGUUCCGCGACCCGAGUUGUAGUUUAGAGAGGCGUAUUCCGCGGCGGACCACGUACGAGUCCUUUGGGAUGAGGCGUCGUAGAGGGUGAGAACCCCGUUCACGACGUGGACUACCGUCGCUUUGCGUUGCGCCCUCGAAGAGUCGAGUUGUUUGGGAAUGCAGCUCAAAACGGGUGGUAAAUUCCAUCUAAAGCUAAAUACAGGCGUGAGACCGAUAGCGAACAAGUACCGUGAGGGAAAGAUGAAAAGAACUUUGGAAAGAGAGUUAAACAGUACGUGAAAUUGCUGCAAGGGAAACGCUUGGAGUCAGUCGUUUCGUCCGGGACUCAACGGAGGUUCUCCUCCGCCUACUUCCCGCGACGANAGGCCAGCGUCGGUUUC
RNAcentral lists this ribosomal RNA (434 nucleotides) under Basidiodendron spiculosum. RNAcentral describes it as "partial large subunit ribosomal RNA". It matches the Rfam family "Eukaryotic large subunit ribosomal RNA", at positions 74 to 509 of the family's 3401-position model. Lineage: Eukaryota; Fungi; Basidiomycota; Agaricomycetes; Auriculariales; Exidiaceae. The record is from RNAcentral.